This 89-nucleotide transfer RNA is filed under the name Desulforapulum autotrophicum HRM2. RNAcentral's name for it is "tRNA-SeC (TCA) (tRNA-SeC-TCA-2-1)". Lineage: Bacteria; Pseudomonadati; Thermodesulfobacteriota; Desulfobacteria; Desulfobacterales; Desulfobacteraceae. The record is from RNAcentral.
GGACUUACAGGUGCCAAGUCGGGACUUCAAAUCCGAUGUGGGGCGCUAAAACCGUCCCGGGUGGGUUCGAUUCCCAUGCACUUCCGCCA